GGGCCGGUAGAUCAGUCUGGAAGAUCGUCCGCCUUGCACGCGGAAGGUCCGGGGUUCAAAUCCCCGCCGGUCCA
Molecule: transfer RNA, 74 nt
Rfam family: tRNA
About the family: Transfer RNA (tRNA) molecules are approximately 80 nucleotides in length. Their secondary structure includes four short double-helical elements and three loops (D, anti-codon, and T loops).
Source: Rfam